RNAcentral lists this ribosomal RNA (348 nucleotides) under Bacillus amyloliquefaciens. RNAcentral describes it as "bacterial SSU rRNA". It matches the Rfam family "Bacterial small subunit ribosomal RNA", at positions 1151 to 1495 of the family's 1533-position model. The record is from RNAcentral. Lineage: Bacteria; Bacillati; Bacillota; Bacilli; Caryophanales; Bacillaceae.
GUCAAUUAAGUGAACUGGUGGAAGGUGGGGAUGACGUCAAAUCAUCAUGCCCCUUAUGACCUGGGCUACACACGUGCUACAAUGGACAGAACAAAGGGCAGCGAAACCGCGAGGUUAAGCCAAUCCCACAAAUCUGUUCUCAGUUCGGAUCGCAGUCUGCAACUCGACUGCGUGAAGCUGGAAUCGCUAGUAAUCGCGGAUCAGCAUGCCGCGGUGAAUACGUUCCCGGGCCUUGUACACACCGCCCGUCACACCACGAGAGUUUGUAACACCCGAAGUCGGUGAGGUAACCUUUUAGGAGCCAGCCGCCGAAGGUGGGACAGAUGAUUGGGGUGAAGUCGUAACAAA